AUACCGGAUAAGAAAGCAGAUCGCAUGAUCAGCUUUUAAAAGGCGGCGUAAGCUGUCGCUAUGGGAUGGCCCCGCGGUGCAUUAGCUAGUUGGUAAGGUAAAGGCUUACCAAGGCGAUGAUGCAUAGCCGAGUUGAGAGACUGAUCGGCCACAUUGGGACUGAGACACGGCCCAAACUCCUACGGGAGGCAGCAGUAGGGAAUCUUCCACAAUGGACGCAAGUCUGAUGGAGCAACGCCGCGUGAGUGAAGAAGGUUUUCGGAUCGUAAAGCUCUGUUGUUGGUGAAGAAGGAUAGAGGUAGUAACUGGCCUUUAUUUGACGGUAAUCAACCAGAAAGUCACGGCUAACUACGUGCCAGCAGCCGCGGUAAUACGUAGGUGGCAAGCGUUGUCCGGAUUUAUUGGGCGUAAAGCGAGCGCAGGCGGAAGAAUAAGUCUGAUGUGAAAGCCCUCGGCUUAACCGAGGAACUGCAUCGGAAACUGUUUUUCUUGAGUGCAGAAGAGGAGAGUGGAACUCCAUGUGUAGCGGUGGAAUGCGUAGAUAUAUGGAAGAACACCAGUGGCGAAGGCGGCUCUCUGGUCUGCAACUGACGCUGAGGCUCGAAAGCAUGGGUAGCGAACAGGAUUAGAUACCCUGGUAGUCCAUGCCGUAAACGAUGAGUGCUAAGUGUUGGGAGGUUUCCGCCUCUCAGUGCUGCAGCUAACGCAU
Molecule: ribosomal RNA, 709 nt
Filed under: uncultured bacterium
Lineage: Bacteria
Description: bacterial SSU rRNA
Rfam family: Bacterial small subunit ribosomal RNA
Source: RNAcentral